GGUAUCAACUAUUUGCAGUUGUGAAACAUUUCGGAUUCAGACCUACUUCUGGACACUAUGUUUGCUACAUUCGAUCCUCUCUUAAUAUGUGGCAUAAGAUGAAUGAUUCAAGGGUUACUUGUGUUGAAGAAGAAGUUGUGCUGUCCCAGGAAGCCUACAUUUUGCUCUAUGCUGAAAAGGGUAUACCUUGGUUUUCAUCUGCAAUAGAAGUGCAAAAGCCUUGUGCAGACUCUGGAAUUUCUGAUUCUUCACCAAAGUCCUAGACGACAUAGACUUUGCCUCCAAUCUUGAGGUGGAAAAGAGUGCCAAUUGCAACGCCAAUGAAAUUAGAUGUUGCUGAUAGAGCUUCAACUCAAUUCUCUUGCGAUGUGUAUAGUCAUAGGCAGGUUCAACUAGUCGUUUCUCAUAUGUAUUAUUUAUUUUAGUUUUGAUUCUAAAUUUUUAUUUUUACUUUAAUAUUUACAACAACUUGAGUUCUA
Gossypium raimondii (Peruvian cotton) is the source of this 479-nucleotide long non-coding RNA. RefSeq lists it as uncharacterized. The record is from RefSeq and is a predicted model, not a curated record. The transcript is spliced from 2 exons. NCBI's taxonomy places the organism in Eukaryota, Viridiplantae, Streptophyta, Magnoliopsida, Malvales, Malvaceae.